This 253-nucleotide ribosomal RNA is filed under the name uncultured bacterium. Its description in RNAcentral is "partial 16S ribosomal RNA". It matches the Rfam family "Bacterial small subunit ribosomal RNA", at positions 524 to 776 of the family's 1533-position model. The record is from RNAcentral.
UACGUAGGGCGCAAGCGUUAUCCGGAAUUAUUGGGCGUAAAGAGCUCGUAGGCGGUUUGUCGCGUCUGCCGUGAAAGUCCGGGGCUCAACUCCGGAUCUGCGGUGGGUACGGGCAGACUAGAGUGAUGUAGGGGAGACUGGAAUUCCUGGUGUAGCGGUGAAAUGCGCAGAUAUCAGGAGGAACACCAGAGGCGAAGGCGGCCUACUGGGUCAGUACUGACGCUGAGCCGCGAAAGCCAGGGGAGCGAACGGG